AGGCCCCAGCUGGGAGCACGUUCUCUCAGGGGCUGGCCAAGAAGAGAGGACAGCUGGGCUGGCCUGGCCGGGAGGCCCUUGGCUGGGGCUUGGAUGUGGGCGAGGUGCGGGGGGAGGCGGCGAGGAAAGAGGAGGCGGCCCACCCCGUCUCUCUGGCUCCUCAUCUGUGUGACAGAGGCGAGGGCUCUGAACUCAGGCAUUCACUCAACAAGCACCUGCUCUGCGUUGGGGUCUGGGGCUGUUGACCUGAACAGGAACCAGGCUGGCUUUCCCAGCGAGGAGGAGGGAUUGCCAGGCGGCGAUGGGAGAGCCCAGGGCCUGUGACCGUCCAGGGGGAGGCCGGACCCAGCCUGGGAGG
Molecule: non-coding RNA, 358 nt
Organism: Sus scrofa (pig)
Lineage: Eukaryota; Metazoa; Chordata; Mammalia; Artiodactyla; Suidae
Source: RefSeq, a predicted model, not a curated record